This is a long non-coding RNA of Nycticebus coucang (slow loris), 967 nucleotides long. RefSeq lists it as uncharacterized. NCBI's taxonomy places the organism in Eukaryota, Metazoa, Chordata, Mammalia, Primates, Lorisidae. The transcript has 3 exons. The record is from RefSeq and is a predicted model, not a curated record.
CGGGGCGACAGGGCCAGCCGGGUCAGGUGACCAGCGGGGGCGGAGCCAGGGCGCGUCACUGCAGAGCCCGCAGAGCCGGGGAGCGGAUCGCUGUGGCCCCGGCUCCUCGCGCCCUAGCACUUUUCACUUCCGGGCAAGACUGUGGCCUUCGCUCUCCCAGGCAGGGUUCACAUCGGCCGCGACCCGGCAGCGGGCGAACGGGCGGGCGGAGCCCGAGGCGCGGGCCUCCACGCCGAUGCCCCCCCUCUGCUCGGCAACUGGGGGAGCUCCUGGUGCCCGCCUGCUCCCCGCGGAGGCUGGCGCGGACGGGGGGUUGGGUGGCGGUGCCGGCCGUGCCUGGAGGCUCCUCCCCCGGCCUGCCUCGCUGUCCUCGCGGCGCCCAGACGGGAUCGGGCCGAGCCGCGCUCGGCCGGGUCCCUGCACAGAGGGCUGGAAGAACUUGGCAUUUCCAGCACAACCAACCGGAACAUUCUGGACUCAUUUCCCUUCAUUCUUGCCUGCAAACCGACCUCAUUUCUUACCAAAUGCAGCCAGUAACAGGGCACAGCAAGGUUUAAGGAUACACAGGCACCUAAGCACAAUGGAAAGAGAAGAAAAGGGCUCAGAAGAAAAGUCAAAGAAGCCAAGCAUACAGAUAAAGUGCGGUGGAGAGGGAGUCUGCAAGGGUCUGCUGUGAUAAGCAAGCGAAACGUCAGGAACCAGCAGGUGUUCUCACAGCAGUGUGUCAGUAUCUGGCUGCAGGCUGGAGAGGACUUCCCUGCGGGAGUUGGGCCUGUGCCCCUUGCAGCCUCUUCUGGGUGCUCUGCCCCGGGAGUUCUGUGCCUCUCUCGACUUGAUUCCACCUCAAGUCAGGGAGCCUGUAGGUGCCACCCAGAGCUGACUUCACUGUGUUGAGACCUACCAGGUCUCAGCGAUCACUGUCCGGAACUGCCUGCUGUCCAAAGUCUGGAAGUUGUUUUUCCACAUG